UUGGAGGGCAAGUCUGGUGCCAGCAGCCGCGGUAAUUCCAGCUCCAAUAGCGUAUGUUAAAGUUGUUGCAGUUAAAAAGCUCGUAGUUGAACUUCGGGGUCUACCCAUUGGUCAGGCUUAAUUGUCUGUACUGGUGAGAUGGAUCUCUACCUUCUGAGGAACUUUCAUGCCAUUUAUUUGGUGUGAUUGGAAAUCAGGACUGUUACUUUGAAAAAAUUAGAGUGUUUAAAGCAGACUAUCGUCUGAAUACAUUAGCAUGGAAUAAUGAAAUAGGACGGACAGAUUCUAUUUCGUUGGUUUCUAGGAUCACCGUAAUGAUUAAUAGGGAUAGUUGGGGGCAUUAGUAUUCAAUUGUCAGAGGUGAAAUUCUUGGAUUUAUUGAAGACUAACUACUGCGAAAGCAUUUGCCAAGGAUGUUUUCAUUAAUCAAGAACGAAAGUUAGGGGAUCGAAGACGAUCAGAUACCGUCGUAGUCUUAACCAUAAACUAUGCCGACUAGGGAUCGGACGAAGUUAAUUUUAUAAUGACGCGUUCGGCGCCUUACGGGAAAC
RNAcentral lists this ribosomal RNA (551 nucleotides) under uncultured Glomeromycotina. RNAcentral's name for it is "SSU rRNA". It matches the Rfam family "Eukaryotic small subunit ribosomal RNA", at positions 548 to 1098 of the family's 1831-position model. The record is from RNAcentral. Lineage: Eukaryota; Fungi; Glomeromycota.